This is a long non-coding RNA of Clupea harengus (Atlantic herring), 6244 nucleotides long. The record is from Ensembl. Lineage: Eukaryota; Metazoa; Chordata; Actinopteri; Clupeiformes; Clupeidae.
CUGGGGUUUGUUUGGUGCCAAGGGCCAGGUUACACAACAGCAGCCACGUCUGAACAGCAGCCGAGGAGGGGAGGUGGUGGUGUUUUUUUUUUGUGUGUGUUUUUGUUUGGUUCCUGCUUUGUUUUGACUCCAACAUGUCCACAUGUCUGUGGGCCAGGAGAGGGAGAGCGGAGGAGGAGCUCGCUGGGCAGUGGGCAGUGUUUAUAGCCCUCACUCCCAAAGCCCUCAGUCCUCGCAUGCAAACAGCACGUGGUUCCAGCUCCUCUCAAAACAGAAAAGAAAAGAAAGAAAAAACACCUGGAUCUUUUUAUGUGGACACUCACCACGACCUGACAGUUGCAAAAUGUGCAAGACAGACGUUCGAGCACUGGUGCUUUUGGAUGAGGACACAGAGGAGGAGGAGGAGGAGGUGGUGGAGGUGUCCGAAGUGAAUCUCCUCACAUUAACCUCAGACUCUUCAGGACAACAGGGCAGGAAUGAUGUGUCUGGCAUUGGAGAGCACAUUAGACCCACAUCAUGGGGAUGAAAGAGUUAAUGCGGUAUGGAUUUCUACCUGUGUGGGAGAGAGGCAUGGGUAGGAUGAAAAUGAGAAGGAAGACUGUAGGAAUGGAUGAAAGGACCUGACAGGAGGAAAAAAAACUAAGUGUUGAAAUGAGAUGACUAAUUAUGUGUGGGAGGUAAGUCUGUCCCUUAUUAUAAAGCCAAAAACAGGGCAAAAUAAAAAGUAAAAACUCUCGUUGAACAUCUGCAUUGCACAGAGGGGGCAACAAAUGAAUAGAGACAUGCAUCAGUUUGCUUUCCAUCUGAAAUAUUACCCAAAAGGCUUUGUCACCUUUUUCAUAGAGAAUGUUUAGUGAAGAUGAGCAGCAACAAUCCCAUACGAUUCGACUUAUUUUUGUAUACUUUGUUACUUUUGUACACAGAUCAGGCAGGAGUUUGGACAGGAGAAAUACGUGUCACUUUGUGAGAGAGAUAGACAGACAGACAGACAGACAGACAGACAGACAGACCGACAACCAGGAAGAGAAAUAAAACGUGUCAAAUAAAAAGUACAUGUGAUUUGUGUUUUGCAGCUUUCUUACUACUGACUACAGAAACCCAAAGCCACUGCUGAUAAAAAGUCUCUCGGCACUCUUUCCAGCCAGACACAUAAAGCCCUGGAGAUCUGAUGGGACUGCGAGGACAUACCCCAAAUGUAUCCUGGCAAAAUGGAACCUCAUGGUGUCCUGCUGAUCAAGCAACACAGUGCAGAGUAAACCUGUGUAAGAGCCCUCCUUCCCCAGCUCUUGGCCCUGAACAGUAAGAGUUUACAUGCUGUGGAGGCUGUUCAGCAGCAUGUACUCCCUUACAGUGCAAGGACUGGAGCCCCUCUCCCAAGAGACUCGGGUCACAGCAGACCUGAGAGUUGGACACGACAGCCGGAGACAGAGUUUGUGCUUACUUUUUUUAUUAGUUGUGCUGAAGUUUUACAUUGAAGGUAUGAAUCACAUCAUAUGUGUCUCAUCAAUGAGGUUGUUUUUGUUUUGUUUUUGUUUUAUUAAAAAAACAAACAAACAUUUCUUUCAUCUCUUUAUUUAAUUGUAUCUUAUGUCUAACUGGACCACGACACACCUGAGUGGACAGUACCCUGUGAAGUGUGGUCGAACACGCUGACAGAUUGACCUUUUUCUCUUAUGCAGAGGAUUUGGCCCUGUUGGACAACCUGUGGUGCUUCACUGAGUCCCUCUUCUCUUCCUGACCCUUUCUCACUGUUCUGCUGUGAAGAUCAGCAGCUAAGCUCUGAUGUCCAACAGAAUGUGUGUUUUGCACACUGGUCCUCAGAAUGGAAUGAAACUGUGGAAUAACACAGCCCUCUGUGGGAGUUGUCUGUCCUGUAAGAAAUGGACAGCUGACCCAUUAACCUAUCAGUGAGUCUCUAUCUGGUAAGUCAACAUGUAAAAUGAGUUAUGAGUGGAUGAACCCAUCACAGGCUCUGUGUGCCUCUGGUCAUCUGUGGCAGCAUUUUCAAUGUGAUUCUGAAGGCUCUGCUGUGCGCUGCCACAGAGCAUAGAAGAGCCUUUCUCUUUAUUACCUAUCAUAUUUACCAACUUGUUUCUUGUAGCUUUAAAAAGCAGAUUAAUUAAAUGGCUACAGCACCAUAGCGGCACCUGAGUUCUAACCAAGAGCAACCAGUAAAGCAGGCUAUUAACAAUUUCCUUCUCAUUGUGUGCAUGUUACUUCAAGAAUGACACACCUGUACUGUUGCAUUUAGAACUUUCACUACAUAUAACAUACAGAGUUUCGAACAAAGCAGAAAAAAAGAACAAUGCCAGCAAAAUUUUGAAUCCAAAUUUCGUUGUAUGCAAAUAAAAUGACAAUAAAGGCUUAUAUAUUCUAUUUUCUAAAACUAAUAUAGAAUAGCUCCAUCACUGUGAUGUCUGCCCCUUAGCGACCAUGGCUGUAGACUGUUACCAAUGGUGUCGUUGCUACAGUAACAAUCUAAAGCCACGGUAGCCAUGGCGACAGCAGCAGGGGGAAAAAAUGGGGGUUCGCCGUGGAAACUGUGGAAGAGGCGAUCUGAUUGGCUGAGCCGUCGUUGAGCUUGCAUGUACGCCAAUGCAGUGGUUUCCUGGAGAGUCAUCGCUGUUCCUUCUCAGUUGUUUGCUUCUUUUAUCUGACCCUCAAAGCACCGGAGAUGCGAGCGAGCGCACGUGGACACAACUGCUCCGCAGGCCUUCCCACGCUGCGUUCUGGGCUUGUAGAGGCUUGACAGACAUCAGUAGCCAUGACUGUAGACUGUUACUGUACUUUCACCGAGUCAUACCAGUAAGCAGUCUAGAGCCAAGGUGUUGAUGCACUGUCCUUAAAGAUGUAAGUAGUGCUCUCAUAGCAAUCUCUCUCAUCAGUGCAUUUACCUAAAAAGACUUUAAGAAUUAUUACAUUAUGUUGGUCGGUGAUAUGGCUAGAUAGGUAGCGGGUGACUUAGCCUACGUAGCCUAUCAUCAACCCAGGAUAUAUUUUUACAGCAAAUCAUUCACACAAAGUCAAGACUGCUGUGACUGCAGUUAAGUAACAGAUACACUCAAAUGCACAACGGUCAGUCAAAUUACGGUGGUCAGAGUCAGAGACCAACGUAGUGACCCAGUUCUGGUGCCAGGUAUUGAUUGCGGUGCAGCUUAUCUGUGACUGACUCCGUAACAGGAUAUUGAGUGCCAGUGAUAUCUUAUGCAAGAUGAAUUGAGUAACACACUUUGACGUCAAAGCUUCCGAAUUGUAUGUAUAAUGACACCAUAAACCUAUUUCCAUUAAGACUCGACGGCUACAAGAGCCUGUUGAUUCUAAACGCCGGAACAGCAGUACGUGAACGUAUACUACUACGACCGGAAGAGUGUGUGUACAGUAGCAGCUUCUCAAACAGUUCAUGCGUUUUAUUAAUAAUUUAAAAAACGUCUCGCAAUCUUAAUUUUCUAAUGGGGGUUCGUUCGCUGUCCAUGGUGCUAACUACCGUAAGUACUGUGCUAAGCGCAAUCCGUCUUUUUAUGCAAAGGAUUGAAAAUCAGAAAAUCAGGUUUCCAACUCGUGAAUGAAACCUCUAUCUUAAGCCUGCGUCUUAAACUGCAUUUUUAGCAGCUGAAGAGCAGGCAGUGUGUAAACAUGCUUCCAAGGCCAAGCCAUUUCCCUUGGUUAAAGUGACAGUGAUGAGAGUGAACUUUCAGCACCUUGGACAGAUGCAGACUUGUCCAACAUUACAUCGACACUGAUCUUUUUAUGCUCUAUGUAAUAGCAAUGUUGGGCAGUUAGUGUAAGCGACGAAUAACUUAUACCUUGAAAAUUCAAAGAAUUCAAAGUUUAGAUAUCCGAUUAGCAUUGAAGAGCAUCGCAGAAAAUACUCUAAUUCGAAUGCAACCCCUCAGAGGUGUCAGAUAGAAGACAUCUGCGAGCACAAGAGCAACUGCAAGAGACAUCAGGGCUGAUGCGGGGUGGUUGGAGAAAACAAUGAACACCCGGAGCAUGUGCAUUAGUAUUCUGCGCACCACACUCGGAGAUGCCCAGGGGAUAUUGGAAUGUUCCCCACGCACAGCCCACCCCCACAUCCCAGCCCACUGCCAGCGAGAUCGCAAUGCGGGUGAUGGACAGUUGCGCUGCCUAGGUGCGCUGCCUCUUUAAAGGGUCCCGCCGGGCGAUUGGAAAUCGUCGACAUGUGCGCAGUAGUGACGCAGGAUUGACUUCAUCUCCAAGUACGUCACAACAUUGAAAUUUCAAAGGCAAAGGAGAAAGGGGCGCUGGGAAUGAAGUGAUUUGAUUAUUCCGAACGCCAUAGGAUGUUGGUGUUCAGACCUGCCAGUCAAAUGCGCCCAAAUAUUUCAAUUGCAAGACAUUUUUUUUAAAUGUGUCGAUUUUGGUGAUUCUGUCCACGAAGUAAAUAGAAGUCUACUCGUUUCCGUUAUACAAUUUAAACACGGAGACUACAUGUUAAUACUAAACUGCAAAAACUGACAAGUAUGUGAGAACUAAAGACACGAUUUAUCACAGGCUUCAAUUUGACAAAAACUUAACUGCCCUGUUUAAGUUAAGCUAUCAUAACAGUUUCACGUUGUUUUUCUCGAUAAUAUUAUGUUGUAGCCAAGUAAUAAGGAAAGUAUUAAUUGAAAUGUAAUUGUUCGAGAUUAAUCCUCAUCUAAUCACAAGUAAUUACUCGUCGGAAUGGCACCGAGUAAAGCAAAAAAAAAAAAUACAUCUGGCUGGGAUUUGUUUUAUUAAUAACCCAGACUGCCUGUCAUCUACAGCAAGAAUCUACACUAAAUGUGCACCCUGACCCAUUUUCGACGAACCAAAAUGACUUAGAUAUUUCUGAGGUAAAUAAUUAUCCUCAGACACACACCCGUGUGGCAUGUAACAUGCAAAGCCCACCGACUCAAAUCUGGAUCUGGCGUUCUCAGUCCUGUCGGUACCCAUGUGCGCUAAAGUGAGUCACACUGCAGCAACUUUCAGCCCCCUUAUCAGCCACCGUACAUUCACUAAAAGGCCCGCAUAUGGAAUUAAAGUCGUGACAUUAUUACCAUAAUCAAACAACUUUUUAAAUCAUCAUAGUUCGUCGAUUCAUGACGAUGUUUAUCCAAUCCUAACGCUGCUGUGAUGGCAUUCUUUGGCGAGGAAUAACAGACAUACAGGUAAGGUAAAAGGCAUGGUAUUUCAAAGUUGAAGCCAAUAUAAAGAGAAACGUACCUGAUUUAAAGCAAUGUCCAGUUCAACACCUCUUGUCAUUAUUUGUCACCAGUCGCAAGACUCGUCAGUAAAUAUUGAAGUUAAGCCUGACUCCUACAUCAUGCUAGAAAUAUUUAUGAGAAAGAGGCUAACCAAGUAGCCUACUAAUCGUCUACUAUCUAGGCUACUGCUAUCAGAAUUGUCCCUUCUGUUUUAUCCUCUGACACCCUUCGUAUCAUAUACACUAGUGAAAUUUAGCGGGCUCUCCCAUCGUUGGCUUUUUAUAGACAUGCCCGUAGUAGUAAUGGGUGAGGGAGGGGGGACUCAUUCAUUGAAAAACAUCACCUACAUUGGGCUUGUACGUGGACGUCUACGUCACUACGGCACUACGUCACUGAGGAAAUGCAACGGGAGGACGCCAGGGUUCCGUGUGGAGCCAGAGAGCAUAACAAAAUGCGUAAAGAAGCUCACGACUCAAGCGCAAUAAUGCCCAAGGAUGAUUUACUGAGUGAUGUGUUGAGUAUUCCUUUUGAUAAAUCAUUUAUAUAUAAAUCAUUGGAGGGAAUUCAGUAUACAGUACGCAAUAUCGAUCUUAAAGACAAUGCGCGUAAUGGCGAAAUGUGCGUGAUAUGUACAGAUGCCAAUAUUUUCAAGGAAUUUUCACAUUGCUGUGGGCCACAUUUGUGUUCAGUUUGCAGUAGGUCCACUAAUUAGUACGCUGGAAAUGUUUAAGACAUAACAUGAGGGUUUACUUAAUUGUUUGGUAAUUCAAUUCGACAUUAUUUUUGUCUACAUCAUACAUAUUUUAAACAUCCGCCGAUUAAAAAGAUAGCCCAUAUGUAUUCAUUCAUCCACUGAUGUGUAAUCAAAUCAGAUGUUGAAUCAUAUCAGAAAACAGAAUAUUGUUGAAACAUAUUGUCGGAAAAUAGUGACAGACAUCAAUAUCGCAUAAUUGGUGCUCACAAUAGUUAUUACACCGCUCUGUAUCCAGACAAUCGCACUCGCGAUGAAUCACGGCUGCGAGAGCCGAUUGCCUUUCAGCCCUUGUUCGCAAUGCCAG